Long non-coding RNA from Brassica oleracea var. oleracea, 144 nucleotides. RefSeq lists it as uncharacterized. The transcript has 3 exons. The record is from RefSeq and is a predicted model, not a curated record. NCBI's taxonomy places the organism in Eukaryota, Viridiplantae, Streptophyta, Magnoliopsida, Brassicales, Brassicaceae.
CGAGUAUCUCAUGGAGCAGCCUGCAAAUGAAUCAGUGAACUACGCUACUUUGGUCACAGCCAGACUAAUCAUAGUGGCAUCACAUAUGGCUGGCUUGGGACUUCCUGAUACAGAGGCUUGGAACAUGAUAGAGACAAUAGCAGA